UAAGCCAUGCAAGUGUUAGUAUGAACUGAUAAUAUAUAGUGAAACUGCGAAUGGCUCAUUAAAUCAGUUAUAGUUUAUUUGAUGGAUACGUGCUUCGGUACACUACAUGGAUAACUGUAGUAACAUAGAGCUAAUACAUGCUUAAAGACUUGACUUUCGGGAAGAGUCCGCACUUAUUAGAUUACAAACCAAUACCACUUGUGGUUCCUUUGGUGAUUCAUAAUAACUGAACAAAUCGCAUGGCUUCACGCUGGCGAUGUAUCAUUCAAAUUUCUGCCCUAUCAACUUGUUGUUAGUGUAUUGGACUAACAAGGUGAUAACGGGUGACGGAGAAUUGGGGUUCGAUUCCGGAGAAGGAGCAUGAGAAACGGCUACUAUUUCUAAGGAAAGCAGCAGGCGCGCAAAUUAUUCAAUGGGAACAACUUCCCGAAAUAGUGACAAAAAAUAACAAUGCACGACUUUUAGUUGUGUAAUUGGAAUGAGUACAAUUUAAAACCCUUAACGAGUAACAAUUAGAGGGCAAGUCUGGUGCCAGCAGCCGCGGUAAUUCCAGCUCUAAUAGCGUAUAUUAAUAUUGUUGCAGUUAAAACGCUCGUAGUUGAAUUUUGAAAUUUAAUCUAAUUGGUUCACUUGAUUGUGUAACUAUUAGUUUGAUUUCUUCCUACUAGUGACUCGAUUCUGUUCUUAAUUGAAUGGAAUAGCUAUCUCUCGGGGUAGUCGCUGGAUUAUUUUAGCUCCUCUAUGAGAUUGUAGGGUGUAAUAACUUGAAAGUUUUAUAUGUGGAUCAAGUUAAAGUAAUUUAGUGGAGUUCUAGUUCAUUUACUUUGAGAAAAUUAGAGUGUUCAAAGCAGCCUCUUGGGGCUUUGUAUAUAUUAGCAUGGGAUAAUGGAAUAGGAUCUGAUUGUUCUAUUUGUUGGUUUGAAACAGUUAGAUAAUGAUUAAUAGGGACAGUUGGGGGUAUUUAUAUUAAAUGGCUAGCGGUGAAAUGCUCGGACCCAUUUAAGAUAAACUAAAGCGAAAGCAUUUACCAAGGAUGUUUUCAUUAAUCAAGAACGAAAGUUAAGGGAUCGAAGA
RNAcentral lists this ribosomal RNA (1074 nucleotides) under uncultured soil eukaryote. Its description in RNAcentral is "SSU rRNA". It matches the Rfam family "Eukaryotic small subunit ribosomal RNA", at positions 45 to 1004 of the family's 1831-position model. The record is from RNAcentral.